This 253-nucleotide ribosomal RNA is filed under the name uncultured bacterium. RNAcentral's name for it is "partial 16S ribosomal RNA". It matches the Rfam family "Bacterial small subunit ribosomal RNA", at positions 524 to 776 of the family's 1533-position model. The record is from RNAcentral.
UACGUAGGGUGCGAGCGUUGUCCGGAAUUAUUGGGCGUAAAGAGCUUGUAGGCGGUUUGUCGCGUCUGCCGUGAAAGCCCAGGGCUUAACCCUGGGUCGGCGGUGGGUACGGGCAGACUAGAGUGUGGUAGGGGAGACUGGAAUUCCUGGUGUAGCGGUGAAAUGCGCAGAUAUCAGGAGGAACACCGGUGGCGAAGGCGGGUCUCUGGGCCGAUACUGACGCUGAGGAGCGAAAGCGUGGGGAGCGAACAGG